UAUACAUGCAGUCGUACGCUUCUUUUUCCACCGGAGCUUGCUCCACCGGAAAAAGAAGAGUGGCGAACGGGUGAGUAACACGUGGGUAACCUGCCCAUCAGAAGGGGAUAACACUUGGAAACAGGUGCUAAUACCGUAUAACAAUCGAAACCGCAUGGUUUUGAUUUGAAAGGCGCUUUCGGGUGUCGCUGAUGGAUGGACCCGCGGUGCAUUAGCUAGUUGGUGAGGUAACGGCUCACCAAGGCCACGAUGCAUAGCCGACCUGAGAGGGUGAUCGGCCACAUUGGGACUGAGACACGGCCCAAACUCCUACGGGAGGCAGCAGUAGGGAAUCUUCGGCAAUGGACGAAAGUCUGACCGAGCAACGCCGCGUGAGUGAAGAAGGUUUUCGGAUCGUAAAACUCUGUUGUUAGAGAAGAACAAGGAUGAGAGUAACUGUUCAUCCCUUGACGGUAUCUAACCAGAAAGCCACGGCUAACUACGUGCCAGCAGCCGCGGUAAUACGUAGGUGGCAAGCGUUGUCCGGAUUUAUUGGGCGUAAAGCGAGCGCAGGCGGUUUCUUAAGUCUGAUGUGAAAGCCCCCGGCUCAACCGGGGAGGGUCAUUGGAAACUGGGAGACUUGAGUGCAGAAGAGGAGAGUGGAAUUCCAUGUGUAGCGGUGAAAUGCGUAGAUAUAUGGAGGAACACCAGUGGCGAAGGCGGCUCUCUGGUCUGUAACUGACGCUGAGGCUCGAAAGCGUGGGGAGCAAACAGGAUUAGAUACCCUGGUAGUCCACGCCGUAAACGAUGAGUGCUAAGUGUUGGAGGGUUUCCGCCCUUCAGUGCUGCAGCUAACGCAUUAAGCAC
Molecule: ribosomal RNA, 846 nt
Filed under: bacterium LGM63
Lineage: Bacteria
Description: bacterial SSU rRNA
Rfam family: Bacterial small subunit ribosomal RNA
Source: RNAcentral